UGGGACAAUAGGCCCAAAAGGCCCACGUUAUAUGCCAAAAGAGAAGGGAAGUCUUCAGUAUGGAAUCACACAAGCUCCUUCUUUCCUAAACCUCUUUCUCCCUAAAGCGAAAUCCGAUCAUUCCUCUGUUUCUAUCCACAUAACCCAAAUCGAAGCCCAAAAUAUACAAACUCUAAAUCUUCAAAUCUAAAUUAAAUGCAAGUGAUACCAAAUUCUAACCUUAAAACUUAGGAUUAUAUAUCCUCUAUGAUAACUAUAUCCUAUGGUAACGAGAAACGGAUAAAACAAGCAAGUUUGAAUGGGAUGAACCAACCUUCGAAGCGGCGAGUUGGUCAGGUCAAGAUUGUAAGACUUGAAGGCGAAGAUAAUAGGAAAACUAGAGAUGCUUCGAAUGAGGGCUAGUGUGAGCUAUAUUUGUGUCAUGAAACACCCUCCAUGAGGAUUUGGUCAAGGUAUGAAGGUUAACACAAGGGUCAUGAAGAAAAUUGAAAUAAAAGGUUCAUGAAGACAACAUCAAACAUGGGAUGGCUUAUAAAAUGGAGAAGAAAAUAAAUGGGGGAAGUAGGGUUCAGUUGGUUGACUUUGGUCAAAUGUUUGACCAAAAGUCAACAAUUGACCCAAAAGUCAACCUAGGCCAAAAUUAUGUUUCUUUUUUUUGUGUAAUGAAACUUUGAAAAUUUGUAGUGAAAUUUGGUUUUUGAA
This is a long non-coding RNA of Lathyrus oleraceus (garden pea), 702 nucleotides long. RefSeq lists it as uncharacterized. The transcript is spliced from 2 exons. NCBI's taxonomy places the organism in Eukaryota, Viridiplantae, Streptophyta, Magnoliopsida, Fabales, Fabaceae. The record is from RefSeq and is a predicted model, not a curated record.